RNAcentral lists this ribosomal RNA (567 nucleotides) under Trichoderma brevicompactum. RNAcentral's name for it is "eukaryotic LSU rRNA". The stretch from base 212 to 365 matches the Rfam family "5.8S ribosomal RNA". The record is from RNAcentral. Lineage: Eukaryota; Fungi; Ascomycota; Sordariomycetes; Hypocreales; Hypocreaceae.
AGUCAUUACCGAGUUUACACCUCCCAACCCCAAUGUGAACGUUACCAAACUGUUGCCUCGGCGGGAUUUCUGCCCCGGGCGCGUCGCAGCCCCGGACCACGGAUUCUUUACAUUCUGAGCUUUCUCGGCGGCUCCUAGCGAGCGUUUCGAGGCGCCCGCCGGAGGACCAAUUGUACAAACUCUUUUGUAUAUCCCAUCGAAAAUGAAUCAAAACUUUCAACAACGGAUCUCUUGGUUCUGGCAUCGAUGAAGAACGCAGCGAAAUGCGAUAAGUAAUGUGAAUUGCAGAAUUCAGUGAAUCAUCGAAUCUUUGAACGCACAUUGCGCCCGCCAGUAUUCUGGCGGGCAUGCCUGUCCGAGCGUGCAUUUCAACCCUCGAACACCUCCGGGGGGUCGGCGUUGGGGAUCGGCACUUACCUGCCGGCCCCGAAAUACAGUGGCGGUCUCGCCGCAGCCUCUCCUGCGCAGUAGUUUGCACACUCGCACCGGGAGCGCGGCGCGUCCACGGCCGUAAAACAACCCAAACUUCUGAAAUGUUGAGCACUCGGAUCAGGUAGGAAUACCCGC